GAUGAACGCUGGCGGCGUGCCUAAUACAUGCAAGCCGAGCGAACGGACGAGGAGCUUGCUUCUCUGAUGUUAGCGGCGGACGGGUGAGUAACACGUGGAUAACCUACCUAUAAGACUGGGAUAACUUCGGGAAACCGGAGCUAAUACCGGAUAAUAUUUUGAACCGCAUGGUUCAAAAGUGAAAGACGGUCUUGCUGUCACUUAUAGAUGGAUACGCGCUGCAUUAGCUAGUUGGUAAGGUAACGGCUUACCAAGGCAACGAUGCAUAGCCGACCUGAGAGGGUGAUCGGCCACACUGGAACUGAGACACGGUCCAGACUCCUACGGGAGGCAGCAGUAGGGAAUCUUCCGCAAUGGGCGAAAGCCUGACGGAGCAACGCCGCGUGAGUGAUGAAGGUCUUCGGAUCGUAAAACUCUGUUAUUAGGGAAGAACAUAUGUGUAAGUAACUGUGCACAUCUUGACGGUACCUAAUCAGAAAGCCACGGCUAACUACGUG
RNAcentral lists this ribosomal RNA (497 nucleotides) under uncultured bacterium. Its description in RNAcentral is "partial 16S ribosomal RNA". It matches the Rfam family "Bacterial small subunit ribosomal RNA", at positions 28 to 507 of the family's 1533-position model. The record is from RNAcentral.